Molecule: ribosomal RNA, 486 nt
Filed under: uncultured bacterium
Lineage: Bacteria
Description: partial 16S ribosomal RNA
Rfam family: Bacterial small subunit ribosomal RNA
Source: RNAcentral
AUUGAACGCUGGCGGCAUGCCUUACACAUGCAAGUCGAACGGCAGCACGGGUGCUUGCCCCUGGUGGCGAGUGGCGAACGGGUGAGUAAUACAUCGGAACAUGUCCUGUAGUGGGGGAUAGCCCGGCGAAAGCCGGAUUAAUACCGCAUACGAUCUACGGAUGAAAGCGGGGGCCCUUCGGGCCUCGCGCUUUAGGGUUGGCCGAUGGCUGAUUAGCUAGUUGGUGGGGUAAAGGCCUACCAAGGCGACGAUCAGUAGCUGGUCUGAGAGGACGACCAGCCACACUGGGACUGAGACACGGCCCAGACUCCUACGGGAGGCAGCAGUGGGGAAUUUUGGACAAUGGGCGAAAGCCUGAUCCAGCAAUGCCGCGUGUGUGAAGAAGGCCUUCGGGUUGUAAAGCACUUUUGUCCGGAAAGAAAUCCUUGGCCCUAAUACGGUCGGGGGAUGACGGUACCGGAAGAAUAAGCACCGGCUAACUACGUG